AAUUGACCUCGGAUCAGGUAGGGAUACCCGCUGAACUUAAGCAUAUCACUAAGCGGAGGAAAAGAAACCAACAGGGAUUGCCUCAGUAACGGCGAGUGAAGCGGCAACAGCUCAAAGUUGAAAUCUGGCCCUUUCGGGGUCCGAGUUGUAAUUUGUAGAGAGUGCUUCGGGGGAGAUCGCGGUCUAAGUCUAUUGGAACAUGGCGUCAUAGAGGGUGAGAAUCCCGUAUGUGACUGCGGAUUGACCCCCUGCGAAGUCUCUUCGACGAGUCGAGUUGUUUGGGAAUGCAGCUCAAAAUGGGUGGUAAAUUUCAUCUAAAGCUAAAUACUGGCUGGAGACCGAUAGCGCACAAGUAGAGUGAUCGAAAGAUGAAAAGCACUUUGGAAAGAGAGUCAAAAAGUACGUGAAAUUGUUGAAAGGGAAGCGCUUGCAACCAGACCUGUCCGUGGGUGAUCAGCCGCCGUUCUCGGGGGUGCAUUCGCUCCACGAUCAGGCCAGCAUCGGUUCGGGCGGUCGGACAAAGGCCUCGGGAAUGUGUCUCCCUCAGGGGAGUCUUAUAGCCCUUGGUGCAAUGCGGCCAGCCGGGACCGAGGACCGCGCUUCGGCUAGGAUGCUGGCGUAAUGGUUGUAAGCGACCCGUCUUGAAACACGGACCAAGGAGUCUAACAUCUAUGCGAGUGUUUGGGUGUCAAACCCAUACGCGGAAUGAAAGUGAACGGAGGUGAGAACCCUUAAGGGCGCAUCAUCGACCGAUCCAGAUGUCUUCGGAUGGAUUUGAGUAUAAGCAUAGCCGUUGGGACCCGAAAGAUGGUGAACUAUGCCUGAAUAGGGUGAAGCCAGAGGAAACUCUGGUGGAGGCUCGCAGCGGUUCUGACGUGCAAAUCGAUCGUCAAAUUUGGGUAUAGGGGCGAAAGACUAAUCGAACCAUCUAGUAGCUGGUUCCUGCCGAAGUUUCCCUCAGGA
RNAcentral lists this ribosomal RNA (963 nucleotides) under Anzia colpodes. Its description in RNAcentral is "LSU rRNA". It matches the Rfam family "Eukaryotic large subunit ribosomal RNA", at positions 1 to 978 of the family's 3401-position model. The record is from RNAcentral. Lineage: Eukaryota; Fungi; Ascomycota; Lecanoromycetes; Lecanorales; Parmeliaceae.